RNAcentral lists this ribosomal RNA (468 nucleotides) under uncultured bacterium. Its description in RNAcentral is "bacterial SSU rRNA". It matches the Rfam family "Bacterial small subunit ribosomal RNA", at positions 340 to 793 of the family's 1533-position model. The record is from RNAcentral.
UACGGGGAGGCAGCAGUGGGGGAAUAUUGCACAAUGGGCGCAAGCCUGAUGCAGCCAUGCCGCGUGUAUGAAGAAGGCCUUCGGGUUGUAAAGUACGUUUACAGCAGUGAGGAAGGCGGGUACGUUAAUAGCGUAUUCGUUUGACGUUUAGCUGCAGAAGAAGCACCGGCUAACUCCGUGCCAGCAGCCGCGGUAAUACGGAGGGUGCGAGCGUUAAUCGGAAUUACUGGGCGUAAAGCGCAUGCAGGUGGUUUGUUAAGUCAGAUGUGAAAGCCCGGGGCUCAACCUCGGAAUUGCAUUUGAAACUGGCAGACUAGAGUACUGUAGAGGGGGGUAGGAAUUUCAGGUGUAGCGGUGAAAUGCGUAGAGAUCUGAAGGAAUACCGGUGGCGAAGGCGGCCCCCUCGGACAGAUACUGACACUCAGAUGCGAAAGCGUGGGGAGCAAACAGGAUUAGAUACCCCUGUAG